This 301-nucleotide ribosomal RNA is filed under the name uncultured bacterium. RNAcentral's name for it is "partial 16S ribosomal RNA". It matches the Rfam family "Bacterial small subunit ribosomal RNA", at positions 509 to 807 of the family's 1533-position model. The record is from RNAcentral.
CAGUAGCCGCGGUAAUACGUAGGUGGCAAGCGUUGUCCGGAAUUAUUGGGCGUAAAGGGCUCGCAGGCGGUUUCUUAAGUCUGAUGUGAAAGCCCCCGGCUCAACCGGGGAGGGUCAUUGGAAACUGGGAAACUUGAGUGCAGAAGAGGAGAGUGGAGUUCCACGUGUAGCGGUGAAAUGCGUGGAGAUGUGGAAGAACACCAGUGGCGAAGGCGACUCUCUGGUCUGUAACUGACGCUGAGGAGCGAAAGCGUGGGGAGCGAACAGGAUUAGAUACCCGCGUAGUCCCUGUCUCUUAUAC